GGUGGGGCUGAUGAGUGGGUUGACCAGAGGGGUGGCUUAGGGAGUCUGCCCACCCCCUUGGUGGUACUCUGUGCAGGGAGCAUGCCCAGUACCAUGCUUUUGCUGCCAGCCCCUCAGAAGGGGCAGGUGGUUUGUGACCUUUUUGUAUCUUAUUGUGCAUAAUUGCCCCCAACUGCUCACGCCUGCAGUUAUUUUUAGGCCCUCAUAGUUCCUUUGUAUUCUGUUGCUUGAGGAGAUGUUUGUCCAGAUGCAAGCCCUGCACUGAAGGGGCCCAGGUCCCAGCCUAGCUCCCUCCGGUCUGGGAGAAGCAGGAACUGAGUUAAGGGUCUUGGGGAAAGUGUUUUUGUUUGCAAGCCAAACAGGCCAAGGCCAAGGCGGGCGGCAAAGGAAAGGUUUAUUCACCCGUCAAGCAAGACAAGAGAAUCAAUCACAAACCCGGAAGCGGAGGGGCUCUGGAUACUUAUGGGAUACAGCUGCUCGUGGGGAGCUUACAGAAAGGUGAUUGGAGAUAAGAAAAAGGUGAGGUAAUUGCAGCUCUGCGCAGGCACAGCUCAUCCGCAGGCUUCUUCUAAGUAUAGCAGCUUCAGCACGUUCUGAGGGUGGAGUUUUCUGCCCUCUGACGUCAAAAGGUCACCCACCUGACGCUCGCGCAUGCCCACUUGGAGAGUCAGUGGUCCCAACCCCUCUUAACCAGCUCGUGCCUGAGCUAGACACAGCUGACGUCAAGCUCCUGAAAAACAGCUUGGGCCAACACUUUCUCAUUUACACGGUGCUGCUGGGAGGACGUGCAAGUCUUUUGUUAAAGCGAACUGGAUCUGCCAAGUCAGGCUACAGUCCGGUUUUUGCUUUGUUUUGGGCUACGUCUUUGGCGUGUGCAAGUUCCUGGCCAGGGAUCGAACCUGCAGCACAGCAAUGACAAGGCCAGAUCCUUAACCUCCUAGGGAACGCCACUUCGUUACUAAGCAGGUUGUAGCUGAAGGAUCUGAUGACUCCCCUCAGUUUCGAAAGGAGUGGACUCUCUUCUCCCUGAUGCCCUGGACCAGCCCUGAAACAGGCGGAGAUGGAGGCAAGUUUCAGGCUCAGGACCUGUGUCACCCCCAGGAUAGUCUCUGCUGAGAUGCGACUGCUCCCCCUUCCAAUUCUGGGUCAGGAUUCCCACCCUCAUGGGCUGCUGUGUUUGGGAGGGUGGAGCCUGGACUUGAGAAGAAGAGGUGUCUCUAACCAGCUUCCACAGACCGAUAGACUGGGCAUCUGCUGAUCACAAGGCCAAAGUACCGGCCAAAGGUCCUCUGAGGUUCGGCUCUUACAGGCACAUGAGAAUCAUUGCAAACCCUCCAUCCGCAAACCCUAAUGUGUGCAUUUCACUUGCUGCUGACCCAAAACGUUUCCACCUGGCUACUCCCCACCACACCAGGAGUGGAGGCAUCCUCUCAGUUCCUCUCCCUCCACCCUCCCCGUCCCCUCCCCUCCCCCCUUCCUGUGUGUGCUGAGGCAUCUUGGGUCCCCCUGGUUUGGGGGGGGGCACUUUGGCUAAUAAGCUCUUUCAGCACCAUUGAGCUCUACAUGUUGUCACUCAGUAUUUAUUUAUUUUUAAUAGCAGCAGUCACAUCUGGAAGUUCCCCAGGUACAUUUUAAAACAAGAGGGUACUGGAGUUCCCACAAUGGUGCAGUGGGUUAAGAAUGCCAGCUGUAGUGGCUUCGGCCGGUGUGGAGGUACAGGUUCCGGGCCCGGUGCAGUGGGUUAAAGGAUCUGGCAUUGCCACAGCUGUGGCUCAGAUUCAUUCCCUCGCCCAGGAACUUCCAGAAGCAAAAAAAAAAAAAAAAAACAGCUGGAGAAAGUGCCUUCUCCCGCCCCCAGAAUAGCGCAGAGCCCUACCUUCUGAUGACAGAGUGUGGAGCUGCGUUUUCCUAGCAUCUCUUCUACUUGGGCCAUUUGGUGAAAGCCCUCUGCCCUCUGGGCUGGAGGGGAAUUUUGUCUAAAUGGAUAGUCUCCAACCCAAAGGGCUCCUCCAGGCAAACAUGAAAUUUGAGAUUCCAUUUUAUAGGGAAGAGUACCAAAUUUCCUUCCAGAAAGUUACGUUCUCACCAGCUGAGUGUCAGGAACCCCAUUUCCUUGCACCUUUGCCAGCUCCAGAUUUAGAUACUUAAAAAGAAAUUCUCGGAGUUCCCGUCGUGGCUCAGUGGUUAAACAAUCCAACUAGGAAUCACGAGGUUUCAAGUUCGGUCCCUGGCCUUGCUAAGUGGGUUAAGGAUCCAGCAUUGCCAUGAGCUGUGGUGUAGGUCGCAGACGCAGCUCGGAUCCCAUGCUGCUGUGGCUGUGUCGUAGGCCAGUGGCUACAGCUCUGAUUCAAGCCCUAGCCUGG
This 2363-nucleotide long non-coding RNA is filed under the name Sus scrofa (pig). The record is from RNAcentral. Lineage: Eukaryota; Metazoa; Chordata; Mammalia; Artiodactyla; Suidae.